UAAAACUCAAAGAUCAGCAGCAAGUUCUCACAUCAAAGUGUGUGCACAUUUACUUGACAAAAAACUAAAAAUUGUAUUUGUUUUUAAAACAACUAUCAGAUAUAAUUCAGUGCAAUGAAUAUGGUCAAAAGAAUUUAAUUAAAAAAAACUCAAACAGUCAAGUUUGCCCUUUUUACACUUAAUAAAUGUUGGUUUAGUACCCUGUCGCCUGUCUAAUAAAAGUAUGAGUGGAAAUAUUUGAAAUGUAAGGGGAAAAACAUUUAAAUUAUCAUUUUAAUCCCAUGUCCUCUUUUGGCACAUCUGGGAUUAUCUGCAUCUGAUUGAUCAGCAUCUGAUUUAAAAGACGCAAUAGUAUUUUGCUCCUUUUUCUUCUUGCACAAAAAAAAAAUCCAAAGUAACUUGGAUUUCCUUUGGAAAAAUUAUCUUACUUCUUGUGUGGUCGAAGUGUAAAAAUCAAAGUUUUUGAUUAAUUUUCAGCUCUCAAAAUAAAAUAGAGGUCUGCUUUAGAUAGUUAUGGAAGAAGUUUUUCAAUUAUUUUAAACAAUUCUUAUUUGAUUUGAUUUGAUUUUACUCUAAAGGAACUUUGCACAAGUUUUUACCUGACCAUUGUGGCAUCAUUUAGAACGUCCUAUUCCACAACAGGGCUGCAAGGUGAAUCAGAUCAACAAGCUCCAGAGGUAGUGCAAAGUGCCAGCCCUAAAACAGAUGCCCAACUUGCAGAACAGAAGCCUCAAUUUGCAAACAUGGCCCAGGCUGGAGGAGGAGGCCGCUGACAGUUAUGGUAGGGGCCCCAGAAGGGGCAAAAAACGGUUCCUAAAAGGUGGAAGGCAGGAAUUCCGUAAUUCCACUCUGCCAGACUGUGCUGUCUGCCUGCUAAGCAUUCUCUGCUGGCCAACUUUGAAAUCCAGCUGUAACUAUGUUGGUGGAAAAACAAAACAAGGGAAACUAGGAUGGGGGAGAGGGCUUGGGUGUAGAAACCGAGGUGAAAAAGAGGUGGAGAAGGAUAGAGGAGUGUGUGGUGUCUGGUAGAGUGUAAGCGGCUGAAUGGGCGGGCUCCUCCGGGGCCUCACCCCCCACUGCAAAGGACCUCCACAGAUUAUCCUUCAUCUGAGCUUGUCCGUCUUGACCUCAACAACCCUGAAGCCCGCUCUCGGCCUGCCCCCCUGUUUUUCCCUCUCCUUUUCAUACGCAUCACCCCCCCCCCCCCCCUCCACCGCCUCACCUCCUCCCUGUUUCCCCUCUUACCUCUCUGUUCCCCUGUAACAUCCAGCUGUACCCCGUUGACACAGCCACACACAUUCACCCAGAACACGCACAAUCCUCGUGCAAAAAAAAAAAAAAAAAUUGGGGGGGACCCAAAAGGAGAAAAUCUAGGCUGAUGUGCAGCACACACGAGGUGGGGGGAAGAAAAAGAAGAAAAAACAGGGAGAAAGAAAGAGGGCAAGCCUUUCAGAAAAACCAGUAUUAGAUACAAAGGGGAGAAGGAGCUGUGCUGGGGGGGGAUGCAAACACAAUAUAUGCUGCAGGUGUUUUGCCCAACGAGUGAAGAACUUGAGGUGCACACACUUUUGGUUUCUCUCACCUCAUAAGUAACUCCCGGUUUUCAUGGGCAGCCCGUCUUUAAUGAUCUGUUUUUUGCCUCCGAUCUGCACUUUAAAAGUUUUCAAAAGCAUUCAUUAGAGGCCCAGAAAACAUUUCUUUUUUAUCGCUGGUUCUUUUCAGUGUAAUUCAUGUAUUUAUUUAACGAAUUGGUAACUUUCCUCUAACUGAAAACCUUAUUUCAUGGUCUAACUGAGCCACUUAUGGAUACAUGUAGACCUCUUCCACAAACAAAAACAUGGGAAAAUCUGUGCCUGAGCAGAGGACCCCCCCCCCUCCUCCUUAUUUGUUCACAUGGAGGUAAAGAUGGAAAAGCAAGGAGCAGGCUGGAUAAACUUUGAGUGGGAAUAUGUUAGUGCUGCUUGGGUUUUAUUUGCAGAGCUGCAGGUGGAUGGUUGACAGACACAACGCUGUAUGUCUUGGCUCUGUCACCAGUAACACUUUUUUUUUUUUAAAGUGACCUACCUGCUUGUUUCUGUACAGGUAAUUCAAUAAAUGAUACCCUGGAUCUGUAAGAGAUGAAUGAAAAAUGUAAUCCAAACAAAAAACACCCACUUUCUAAGAAAACAAACAUGAUUAAAUUACAUUAAGGUCCCUUUAAAUCAGAUUUUUGAACAACAGUCAAAACCAAAUACAUAGGCAGUGUUUACCUGGAAUUUGUAGUAGUACACUGAUAUUUAAAGAGUUUCCUUUAAUAAAAUAAGCAUAGGUACCACUUCAUUUUUAAGCCCAAUAUAAAAAUGCUUAUAUCAGUUUGGAGUGAUUAUUUUACCAUAGUUACAUGUUUUCCCUCUUUUUAUUAGUUUUAUUUAUAGUUUUUAUUUUUAAUUGAAUGUGUUGAUUAGUAAAUGGGUUCCCACCAAUGUAUCAUUCGUUUAAUGAAAAUAAUCAUCUAUAUUAUUAGAAAUUGUCAUUUAUUCCCACUAAUAAAAGCACAAAUUAAUACUCUGAUAAUUGGUAUUUGUAUUUAUUAUUAAUUUAUUGUUUUUGACUCUUGGCUAACACAAUGUUAUUAUUAAUAAUAUGUGCGUUUUAAGGCUUUUAACAGAUGUAAUAUUUGUCGAUGAACCGCCCCUCCGCUAGGGGGCAGUGCGAGUGCGAAACACCAGAGCACAAUACGCAUCUGGGUGGUAGAAGAAGCCCACCGGAUCACUCUCUGCUGCUAACAGUCGCCAACCGGCUAAUCUCCUGGACAACGCAGUUUGAAGUUAUUUUAAUCCCAGUUUUCUUUAUUGCCUCUUUUUUCACUCCUUAUAAUCAAGUGACUUUAAAAAACGUUGCCGGUGAUAAGUGCUAGGUACCCACCGACGGACAAGUUUAAUCACACUAUAUGUUUUUGACGCUGUACCUUCCACCGAGGAUGCUAGCGCAUAAGCAAGCCAGCUAGCUUGCAAAUCUGAAGGAGCGAAUAAGCAGCGCUCUGGAUGCUUUUAAGUGCAGCGAGUUUUUG
RNAcentral lists this long non-coding RNA (3049 nucleotides) under Oryzias sinensis (Chinese medaka). RNAcentral's name for it is "lncRNA (ENSOSIG00000010081.1)". Lineage: Eukaryota; Metazoa; Chordata; Actinopteri; Beloniformes; Adrianichthyidae. The record is from RNAcentral.